Molecule: RNase P RNA, 486 nt
Filed under: Acidobacteriota bacterium
Lineage: Bacteria; Pseudomonadati; Acidobacteriota
Description: Acidobacteria bacterium RNase P RNA component class A
Rfam family: Bacterial RNase P class A
About the family: Ribonuclease P (RNase P) is a ubiquitous endoribonuclease, found in archaea, bacteria and eukarya as well as chloroplasts and mitochondria. Its best characterised activity is the generation of mature 5'-ends of tRNAs by cleaving the 5'-leader elements of precursor-tRNAs.
Source: RNAcentral
CUUGCCGGAUGGGCAGUCGCCCGUUUUUACGGGAGGAAAGUCCGGUCUCCGCAGGGCGGCGUGCCGGCUAACGGCCGGGAAGGUCCGAAUCAAAGCGGGCUUUACGGAUAGUGCCACAGAAAAUAUACCGCCUGCCGGGAGGCUGCUGAAAAACUCCGCGCGUCGAGCUUUCUGUUCAUUCCGCCAGUCCGACGCCAUUUCGAGGGCCUGACGCUGUUCGCUGUCAGAUUCCAAUUUCAGCGUCAGGGUUUUUCAGCAGCUUCCCGGCGGGUAAGGGUGAAAAGGUGCGGUAAGAGCGCACCGCGGCCGGAGCAAUUCGGCUGGCAGGGUAAACCCCACGCGGAGCAAGACCAAAUAGGGGAGAAGGAGCGGCCCGCUCCGUUGGACUCUCGGGUAGGUUGCUAGAGUCAUCCAGUAAUGGAUGACCCAGAUGAAUGAUUGCCGCCCGCAAGGGCACAGAAACCGGCUUACAGUCCGGCAAGUUAC